Molecule: long non-coding RNA, 1288 nt
Organism: Lytechinus variegatus (green sea urchin)
Lineage: Eukaryota; Metazoa; Echinodermata; Echinoidea; Temnopleuroida; Toxopneustidae
Exons: 4
Source: RefSeq, a predicted model, not a curated record
CGCCCACAUUUUCGUCACAUGAUAUGAGGCGAUAUGCGAUCGAUGAUGUGAAUUUGUGAAUGAAUGACUCACUGCAUUACAUUGCAAAUGAGCAGGUCGUGUUUUUGUUUUUUAACCGUGUCCGUGACGUGACGACCUACUUAAACUUAUUCGAGAUCAAGUAGAAAUUUUUUGUGUAAAGAACAUCUGUCUGUGAAGCUGUAACAAGUUCAAACAGUAAGAAUUAGGAAGAUCAGAGGAAACAUGAACAGUGCUGGUGGAAGUGUGCAGAGAGCCAGGCAAAGAAUGGCCCAAUUUCCUGCUGCUCUUGCUGAAUGCACCCCACAGGCACUUGCUUAUGGUCGAUGCGUUUCUGGCAAGGACCAUGUAGGUAGAAAUGACUGUGCCAAAGAGUUUCAAGUCUACAAGGAAUGUCUUCAGAAAGUGAUGCGCAAGGUGAAGAAAUGAUAUAUGCUCCUGUAGAGAAGAGAAAUAACGAGCAGGAGCUCUUCCUCUGGGUAUGAUGGUGUGCCACCUACACUCGGGCCUCUGUAGCUGUGGUUUUGCUACUUCGGUUUAUGAUGUCAUCUGGAUUGAAGCUUCAGCAUCAAAACACACAAAUGGCUGUGAGAUUUUACUAACAGCUUAUCAUAGGGAUGAUUGAAUCCCUCCCCUCUAGGAAGUAGAUGAUAAGGCACUUAAAAAGGAAACUGAAGUUGGGGGAUACAUGUAGGUUAAAACAACCUUUGAGAAUUACAAGGCAUCUUUUUAAGUAUUUCAUUUUGGUUGGAGGGGUUGGGUGGAAUAUAAAACCAAAUGAUCCAAUGAAAAUGGUUGUUUUUCAUUUGCCUUUGCAUUAAUGAUAUGACAAAAUGACAUACACAUAUUUGGGUCAAACAUUUAUUUGUAGUUUUAUACAUUCAUGAUGUGUGCAGUGCAUUUUACUCUCCAUAAGACACUCAGAGUUCAAGUUCAAGCUUCUUUCACAAUUCAAUCUUAUGGCCAAUGAAAUUCCUUGAUUUUCUUGUUUCUCCUGUAAUGCUAUUUAGUGACUUUAUGAGUUCAUUCAGAUUAGACCAGGGAUGAUGGAAUCACUGAAUGUUUGCUUACAUUUUGUACAAAUGAGUACAAUUGAGUACAUGUUUUCAUUAGUUGCUACAAACACUUCAGCUGGUUUCAGCUCCCGAGCCAUUUAGAAUAAUCUACAAUUUCUGAUACCUUUACUUUGGUUAUCUUAUACAAUCAUAAAAUCAGUGACACAGGUAUUAAAGAUUAUAAGGAUUUUAGAUCUAAAAUGAAAUGAAUUUAG